AAGAUCAAAUUUUAUAAAUGUUUUAAAAUAUUAUGUGCAUGAUAUGAUUUUCUCACAAACAUAUUGUCUACAGGUUAUGUUGCCAAUGAGUGUCAAUGUUCUGACCUAAAUCGAGUACUAAAAUUACAUUUUUAAUACUUGGUUUGUAUGUGAGGUCCGAAUAGAGCUUACGAUAUGGUUUGUAACCUGUACUGUUGACAUCACUCCGUUUGAUCGUUUGUAGAUACCUAUUUGAUGGUCAGUUUUAAUAUAGCUUUACAUAUUCAAUCUAAUACAUACCCCG
Molecule: long non-coding RNA, 283 nt
Filed under: Mytilus galloprovincialis (Mediterranean mussel)
Lineage: Eukaryota; Metazoa; Mollusca; Bivalvia; Mytilida; Mytilidae
Source: RNAcentral